This 1723-nucleotide ribosomal RNA is filed under the name [Candida] sp. BG01-7-23-018B-1-1. Its description in RNAcentral is "SSU rRNA". It matches the Rfam family "Eukaryotic small subunit ribosomal RNA". The record is from RNAcentral. Lineage: Eukaryota; Fungi; Ascomycota; Saccharomycetes; Saccharomycetales.
AAAGAUUAAGCCAUGCAUGUCUAAGUAUAAGCAACUAUACAGUGAAACUGCGAAUGGCUCAUUAAAUCAGUUAUCGUUUAUUUGAUAUUACAUUACUACUUGGAUAACCGUGGUAAUUCUAGAGCUAAUACAUGCCUAAAAUCCCGCUUGCGGGAUGUAUUUAUUAGAUAAAAAACCAAUGUCUUUUUGACUCUGUGGUGAUUCAUAAUAACUUUUCGAAUCGCAUGGCCUUGAGCUGGCGAUGUUUCAUUCAAAUUUCUGCCCUAUCAACUUUCGAUGGUAGGAUAGUGGCCUACCAUGGUUUCAACGGGUAACGGGGAAUAAGGGUUCUAUUCCGGAGAGGGAGCCUGAGAAACGGCUACCACAUCCAAGGAAGGCAGCAGGCGCGCAAAUUACCCAAUCCUGACACGGGGAGGUAGUGACAAUAAAUAACGAUACAGGGCCCAUUGGGUCUUGUAAUUGGAAUGAGAACAAUUUAAAUACCUUAACGAGGAACAAUUAGAGGGCAAGUCUGGUGCCAGCAGCCGCGGUAAUUCCAGCUCUAAUAGCGUAUAUUAAAGUUGUUGCAGUUAAAAAGCUCGUAGUUGAACCUUGGGCCUGAUGAGCCGGUCCGCCUAAGGUGUGCACUGGUUUCAUCGGGCCUUUCCUCCUGGCUAACCUUAGUGUCUUUAAUCGGACGCUAGGAAAUUCCAGGACUUUUACUUUGAAAAAAUUAGAGUGUUCAAAGCAGGCCUUUGCUCGAAUAUAUUAGCAUGGAAUAAUAGAAUAGGACGUAUGGUUCUAUUUUGUUGGUUUCUAGGACCGUCGUAAUGAUUAAUAGGGACAGUCGGGGGCAUCAGUAUUCAGUUGCUAGAGGUGAAAUUCUUGGAUUUACUGAAGACUAACUACUGCGAAAGCAUUUGCCAAGGAUGUUUUCAUUAAUCAAGAACGAAAGUUAGGGGAUCGAAGACGAUCAGAUACCGUCGUAGUCUUAACCAUAAACUAUGCCGACUAGGGAUCGGGCGAUGUCCUUUUUGACUCGCUCGGCACCUUACGAGAAAUCAAAGUUUUUGGGUUCUGGGGGGAGUAUGGUCGCAAGGCUGAAACUUAAAGGAAUUGACGGAAGGGCACCACCAGGAGUGGAGCCUGCGGCUUAAUUUGACUCAACACGGGGAAACUCACCAGGUCCAGACACAAUAAGGAUUGACAGAUUGAGAGCUCUUUCUUGAUUUUGUGGGUGGUGGUGCAUGGCCGUUCUUAGUUGGUGGAGUGAUUUGUCUGCUUAAUUGCGAUAACGAACGAGACCUUAACCUACUAAAUAGCUCGAUCAGCUUUGGCUGAUUAUAAGCUUCUUAGAGGGACUAUCGAUUUCAAGUCGAUGGAAGUUUGAGGCAAUAACAGGUCUGUGAUGCCCUUAGACGUUCUGGGCCGCACGCGCGCUACACUGACGGAGCCAGCGAGUAACUAACCUUGGCCGAGAGGUCUGGGUAAUCUUGUUAAACUCCGUCGUGCUGGGGAUAGAGCAUUGCAAUUAUUGCUCUUCAACGAGGAAUUCCUAGUAAGCGCAAGUCAUCAGCUUGCGUUGAUUACGUCCCUGCCCUUUGUACACACCGCCCGUCGCUACUACCGAUUGAAUGGCUUAGUGAGGCCUCCGGAUUGGCUCCAAGAGAUGGGCAACCAUCACUUGGAGCCGAAAAGCUGGUCAAACUUGGUCAUUUAGAGGAAGUAAAAGUCGUAACAAGGU